This 58-nucleotide transfer RNA is filed under the name Camelus bactrianus (Bactrian camel). It matches the Rfam family "tRNA", at positions 8 to 63 of the family's 71-position model. From Rfam's summary of the family: Transfer RNA (tRNA) molecules are approximately 80 nucleotides in length. Their secondary structure includes four short double-helical elements and three loops (D, anti-codon, and T loops). The record is from Rfam by way of RNAcentral. Lineage: Eukaryota; Metazoa; Chordata; Mammalia; Artiodactyla; Camelidae. RNAcentral also lists the same sequence under 2 other names.
UAGCUCAAUUGAUAGGGUGCAUGCUUAGCAUGCAUGAGGUCCUGGGUUCAAUCCCCAG